Molecule: long non-coding RNA, 1952 nt
Organism: Capsicum annuum
Lineage: Eukaryota; Viridiplantae; Streptophyta; Magnoliopsida; Solanales; Solanaceae
Exons: 7
Source: RefSeq, a predicted model, not a curated record
ACGUAAUUACUUUUACAAUGAAGAUUUUUCCCCUAAAUUUGCUAUCCAUGUAAUACACAUAUACAAAAUAUAUGUGGUCACUAUUGUUUUCAUCUGUUUACUGACUUUGCCUUAUAUUAGUUACAAAAAAAAAUCUACUCUCUCUUGUUCCUAAAAAAGAAAAUACCUGUACCAAAAAAAUCUACUCUCCCUUGUUCUUAAAAAAGAAAAUACCUUUGAAAAAAUUGAAAGAGAAUAGCUGUGAAAUUAGAGUUUUCAUUAAUUUUGGCUUCUUUAACUUCUGCUGCAACUUUUAUACGUAAACUCUUUAUUUGUGCUAUUGUGCAGUCUUUCACUUAGUAGGAUUGUGCUUUCACAGUAGAGGCACAAAUAAUUCUACCAAACAGCCUUAAACAUUGCUUUGUCUUAGGCUAUCCAAAGUGUCCUCAGGAAGUAUGAAAUACAGAGAAGCAAAAAUUUCACUGCAUGAAUUGUCAUAAAAGUAAUAUGCUGAGUCCCAGGUGUUGAUUCGAUGUAAAUCUGAAAGAUGACACUGGCUCAAUAAUUGAAACUAUUAGGGGAGAAGAAGGAGAAAAAUUAUCAUCUCUUACAGCAGAACAGAUUUAUGAGCUUACUUCAACUAAGGUUGACCAACUUUUCUUUUACAGUUACUUUUGAAUUUUAUGGAACAAAGGAGUUUGUGAAUUUUGUGAAAUAUUGUUCUUCCUGAUUUGCACCACUGUGAAGAUUUUGGAGAAAAGAACUACCAACUUACCAUCUAUCAUCUACCUAACGGCCCAACAGGUGUGGCUCCAUAACCUCAGUUUUGAACUUCUUCUUUACACAGUUGAAAAGGUCGAUGAUAAUUCUAAGGAAGAUCCUUCUUGUAGCAAGUAACUUGUCUCUGUCAUGGACUAAUUUGUAAUCAGUUUACAAGAAAACUAUAAAUUGGUGUAUGUAUUAAACAUAGUGCAUGCUGAUCGGAUAAAAAAUAAAGGAGAAAUUAUUAUACGAGUAGCAAGUUAGUAUUUAUAGAAGACACAUUGCAUCACUGUCACUACAUCAAUAAGGUUUCUCAUUCUUCAGUCAGAGGGUUGGUUCAUUUUACAAAUUGUGAAGAAUAAAAUUCUUAACGAUCUCUGUGGACACUAAGCACAAAAAGUUCACCUUCAAUGAAUAAAUUGGACGAAUAGGAUAAAAAUGAAAACAAAGUAGUAAUAAAAGAAUUGAUACCUUGUCAACUAAAUAAUGAAAUAAGACUGAAAGUUGUUAUUUCUCUGUUUGCAAUUGUUUAUAACUUUAUAUCAAUCUUUAUGUGAAAAAUUCGAAGUUGCUUUGUAUGUUCAACAGGAAUAAAACAUUAACAUUCUAUGAAACAAGUUGGCACACUUGUAUAGAAUCUGCAAUUGGCCAUUUAAGUAAUAUUAACACUUUGAUCAGUUUACAUUUUUUUCACUACACUUUUGAUGUCAUUGCUUUUCAUUUUUAAUUUAGUUAACAUGUGACAGCACAUUGUCAUUGUUACUGAUAUUUCCAUGAAAUCCAAAAUUUAUCAUUGGAGAAACACAAUGGAAAGAAAUGCUACCUAUUAGCUGCAAUAUCACUAGCAAUUGUUUAGGUUGACACACCUACGUACUGGAGAUGGAUGUCCCUUCCUGAGUGCAGUGAAAUAGGUAGCUGUUGAAGGUGAUGUUGCAACAUAACACCCAAAGAAGAAGACGUUUUAGAAGUUCAAUUCACAAAAGCCAGUCUUAGUUCUCCACCACUGUCUUCAACAAAAUAUUGUUUCUACAACCAACCAACAAUAAUGCACCACUCUUGUACCAUUAGCUUUCAACUUUGGCACUAUUUGUACCAAGAAAUGGUUAUAUGUAGUACUUUCACAAGCUAACAACAUAACAAUGUAAUCUUUGUUCCACAUAUUAUGAAACAUAACUCUUUGUACCACAUAUUAUGAAAUAUAAUUGUUUUAU